UCUACAAGCUCAGCUAGGAGAAAAGAACAAAUUGGAAUGGAACAGUUUCCAAACAGUGAAGGAGGUUUUUCCAAACUCAUCCCUAACUGAACAUGAGGAUGAAUUGGCAUUAGGCGAACACAGUCAGUUAUUCAGUCUACCACCUGACAGUGUGUUAAAGUUAAAUUCUGUUAGUGCUGCACUAAAAGAAUUGUUAGUAAUAAGUCAAUGCAGCGAAGGAAUUGAACAAUUGUGGGAUCGUAUUUGGGCUGAAAAUAGGUGUGGUACGGAAACCCAGAAAUAGCAUGAGUUCAACAUAAAACAUGAAUUAGAAUUCUAGUGGGGAAUCAAGUCAAGUCUAGAAGUGUUACAGGAUGGAAGAGUGAGCCUACAGUUGAAAAACACUGAAAGUGCAUUACCAUUAAGGUAUGAGGUAAAGUAAUAGAGUAUGCAAAUUGUCUAAUGAGAAGUACCAUCUUGUGUGAAUGAAUCCUGUGUAACAGCAAUCCUUUAUAGUUCUGUUAUAGCUAGAAGCCUCAAAUAAUUCUGCUUCUCUUGCUAAAGAACAACUUGUCCUUUACACUCAGAGUGUUGGUGAAGCUGGGUACUUAAAUGGCCCUAAAGAUGUUUCACUUCACUGGCAUUGCAGCGAUGAACAUCAUACAUGGACUCUUUAGGAAAGGAUUUUCAGCAUACUGGGAACACAACUAUCAACAAUGCAACAUUCUAGGGGUGUUAUUUUAUCCUUCAAGAGCCUUAUACAAUGAUUUUUAUCUACAAUUUGUAUGGCCUUUCCCGAGCUUCUGCCAGAAGUUGAAUCUAUGAGUCAUGUAAGUCACAUGAGCAACAAUUGAGAUGCUUAAUGGUGUUGUUUUUCUUUUCUCAGUGUAGGUUAAUAGUAACAUUGGAUCUGAAAAAAUUCUUGGUUGGGGCAUGACACUGAAUAAAUUGUAAUGAUUGGA
Daphnia carinata is the source of this 941-nucleotide long non-coding RNA. RefSeq lists it as uncharacterized. Lineage: Eukaryota; Metazoa; Arthropoda; Branchiopoda; Diplostraca; Daphniidae. The transcript has 4 exons. The record is from RefSeq and is a predicted model, not a curated record.